CUCAGUCGGUAGAGCAUCAGACUUUUAAU
RNAcentral lists this non-coding RNA (29 nucleotides) under Bos taurus (domestic cattle). RNAcentral also lists the same sequence under 1 other name. Lineage: Eukaryota; Metazoa; Chordata; Mammalia; Artiodactyla; Bovidae. The record is from RNAcentral.